GAUUAACGCUAGCGGCAGGCCUAAUACAUGCAAGGUCGAGGGGCAGCAGGGUGUAGCAAUACAUCGCUGGCGACCGGCGCGACGGGUGCGUAACACGUAUGCAACCUACCUUUAACUGGGGAAUAGCCCUCCGAAAGGAGGAUUAACACCGCAUAACAUCACGAGACGGCAUCGCCUUGUGAUCAAACCUCCGGGGGUUAAAGAUGGGCAUGCGUCCGAUUAGCUAGUUGGCGGGGUAACGGCCCACCAAGGCGACGAUCGGUAGGGGGUCUGAGAGGAUGAUCCCCCACACUGGUACUGAGACACGGACCAGACUCCUACGGGAGGCAGCAGUAAGGAAUAUUGGACAAUGGUCGCAAGACUGAUCCAGCCAUGCCGCGUGCAGGAUGAACGAUCUAUGAUCUGUAAACUGCUUUUGUUCGGGAAUAAACCCCUUCACGUGUGGAGGGCUGAAUGUACCGAAAGAAUAAGGGUCGGCUAACUUCGUG
Molecule: ribosomal RNA, 488 nt
Filed under: uncultured bacterium
Lineage: Bacteria
Description: bacterial SSU rRNA
Rfam family: Bacterial small subunit ribosomal RNA
Source: RNAcentral